RNAcentral lists this ribosomal RNA (492 nucleotides) under uncultured bacterium. Its description in RNAcentral is "bacterial SSU rRNA". It matches the Rfam family "Bacterial small subunit ribosomal RNA", at positions 28 to 523 of the family's 1533-position model. The record is from RNAcentral.
GAUGAACGCUGGCGGCGUGCUUAACACAUGCAAGUCGAACGGAGAAAGGGUAGCUUGCUAUCUUUUCUUAGUGGCGGACGGGUGAGUAACGCGUGGGUAACCUGCCCUUUGCAGGGGGAUAACAGUGAGAAAUCACUGCUAAUACCGCAUACCAACUUCUUUCGCAUGAAGGAAGUUUGAAAGAUUUAUCGGCAAAGGAUGGACCCGCGUUGGAUUAGCUAGUUGGUGAGAUAACAGCCCACCAAGGCAACGAUCCAUAGCCGGCCUGAGAGGGUGAACGGCCACACUGGGACUGAGACACGGCCCAGACUCCUACGGGAGGCAGCAGUGGGGAAUAUUGCACAAUGGGCGAAAGCCUGAUGCAGCGACGCCGCGUGAAGGAUGAAGGUCUUCGGAUUGUAAACUUCUAUCAGCAGGGAAGAAAGGGCCUAUGGCCUAUGACGGUACCUGACUAAGAAGCCCCGGCUAACUACGUGCCAGCAGCCGCGGUAA